GAUGAACGCUGGCGGCGUGCCUAAUACAUGCAAGUCGAGCGAACGGACGAGAAGCUUGCUUUUCUGAUGUUAGCGGCGGACGGGUGAGUAACACGUGGAUGACCUACCUAUAAGACUGGGAUAACUUCGGGAAACCGGAGCUAAUACCGGAUAAUAUUUUGAACCGCAUGGUUCAAAAGUGAAAGACGGUCUUGCUGUCACUUAUAGGUGGAUCCGCGCUGCAUUAGCUAGUUGGUAAGGUAACGGCUUACCAAGGCAACGAUGCAUAGCCGACCUGAGAGGGUGAUCGGCCACACUGGAACUGAGACACGGUCCAGACUCCUACGGGAGGCAGCAGUAGGGAAUCUUCCGCAAUGGGCGAAAGCCUGACGGAGCAACGCCGCGUGAGUGAUGAAGGUCUUCGGAUCGUAAAACUCUGUUAUUAGGGAAGAACAUAUGUGUAAGUAACUGUGCACAUCUUGACGGUACCUAAUCAGAAAGCCACGGCUAACUACGUG
RNAcentral lists this ribosomal RNA (497 nucleotides) under uncultured bacterium. RNAcentral's name for it is "partial 16S ribosomal RNA". It matches the Rfam family "Bacterial small subunit ribosomal RNA", at positions 28 to 507 of the family's 1533-position model. The record is from RNAcentral.